This 513-nucleotide ribosomal RNA is filed under the name uncultured bacterium. RNAcentral's name for it is "bacterial SSU rRNA". It matches the Rfam family "Bacterial small subunit ribosomal RNA", at positions 15 to 518 of the family's 1533-position model. The record is from RNAcentral.
GAUCAUGGCUCAGGAUGAACGCUAGCUACAGGCUUAACACAUGCAAGUCGAGGGGCAGCGAGAGGAAAGCUUGCUUCCUGUCGGCGACCGGCGCACGGGUGAGUAACGCGUAUCCAACCUUCCCCAUAGUAGAGGAUAGCCCGGCGAAAGUCGGAUUAAUACUCUAUGUUGUACAACGAGGACAUCUGAAUUGUACCAAAGAUUUAUCGCUAUGGGAUGGGGAUGCGUCUGAUUAGCUUGUCGGCGGGGUAACGGCCCACCGAGGCGACGAUCAGUAGGGGUUCUGAGAGGAAGGUCCCCCACAUUGGUACUGAGACACGGACCAAACUCCUACGGGAGGCAGCAGUGAGGAAUAUUGGUCAAUGGACGAGAGUCUGAACCAGCCAAGUAGCGUGCAGGAAUGACUGCCCUAUGGGUUGUAAACUGCUUUUAUCAGGGAAUAAAGUGAGGUACGUGUGCCUUUUUGUAUGUACCUGAUGAAUAAGGACCGGCUAAUUCCGUGCCAGCAGCGGC